UACGGAGGGGGCUAGCGUUGUUCGGAAUUACUGGGCGUAAAGCGCACGUAGGCGGCUUUGCAAGUUAGAGGUGAAAGCCCGGGGCUCAACUCCGGAAUUGCCUUUAAAACUGCAUCGCUAGAAUUGUGGAGAGGUAAGUGGAAUUCCGAGUGUAGAGGUGAAAUUCGUAGAUAUUCGGAAGAACACCAGUGGCGAAGGCGGCUCACUGGACCGGUAUUGACGCUGAGGUGCGAAAGCGUGGGGAGCAAACAGG
RNAcentral lists this ribosomal RNA (253 nucleotides) under uncultured bacterium. RNAcentral's name for it is "partial 16S ribosomal RNA". It matches the Rfam family "Bacterial small subunit ribosomal RNA", at positions 524 to 776 of the family's 1533-position model. The record is from RNAcentral.